ACAAUGAGCGCAAGCCUGAUGGAGCAACACCGCGUGAGUGAAGAAGGGUUUACGGCUCGUAAAGCUCUGUUGUUAAAGUAAGAACACGUAUGAGAGUAACUGUUCAUACGUUGACGGUAUUUACCAGAAAGUCACGGCUAACUACGUGCCAGCAGCCGCGGUAAUACGUAGGUGGCAAGCGUUAUCCGGAUUUAUUGGGCGUAAAGAGAGUGCAGGCGGUUUUCUAAGUCUGAUGUGAAAGCCUUCGGCUUAACCGGAGAAGUGCAUCGGAAACUGGAUAACUUGAGUGCAGAAGAGGGUAGUGGAACUCCAUGUGUAGCGGUGGAAUGCGUAGAUAUAUGGAAGAACACCAGUGGCGAAGGCGGCUACCUGGUCUGCAACUGACGCUGAGACUCGAAAGCAUGGGUAGCGAACAGGAUUAGAUACCCUGGUAG
Molecule: ribosomal RNA, 434 nt
Filed under: uncultured bacterium
Lineage: Bacteria
Description: bacterial SSU rRNA
Rfam family: Bacterial small subunit ribosomal RNA
Source: RNAcentral